ACACUCCUGCGGGAGGCAGCAGUGGGGAAUAUUGGACAAUGGGCGCAAGCCUGAUCCAGCCAUGCCGCGUGAGUGAUGAAGGCCCUAGGGUUGUAAAGCUCUUUCACUGGUGAAGAUAAUGACGGUAACCGGAGAAGAAGCCCCGGCUAACUUCGUGCCAGCAGCCGCGGUAAUACGAAGGGGGCUAGCGUUGUUCGGAUUUACUGGGCGUAAAGCGCACGUAGGCGGACUAUUAAGUCAGGGGUGAAAUCCCGGGGCUCAACCCCGGAACUGCCUUUGAUACUGGUAGUCUUGAGUUCGAGAGAGGUGAGUGGAAUUCCGAGUGUAGAGGUGAAAUUCGUAGAUAUUCGGAGGAACACCAGUGGCGAAGGCGGCUCACUGGCUCGAUACUGACGCUGAGGUGCGAAAGCGUGGGGAGCAAACAGGAUUAGAAACCCCGGUAGUCCCAUG
Molecule: ribosomal RNA, 450 nt
Filed under: uncultured organism
Description: partial 16S ribosomal RNA
Rfam family: Bacterial small subunit ribosomal RNA
Source: RNAcentral